GCCUGCCAGCCCAGGUGGGAUCACACCGCCCUGGCGGGGGGCGCACCACCGGCCCGUCUCGCCCGCACCGCCGGGGAGGUGGAGCUAGAGCGCGCGCGAUGGUACCCGAAAGAUGGUGAACUAUGCCUGGGCAGGGCGAAGCCAGGGGAAACCCUGGUGGAGGCCCGCAGCGGUCCUGAUGUGCAAAUCGGUCGUCCGACCUGGGUAUAGGGGCGAAAGACUAAUCGAACCAUCUAGUAGCUGGUUCCCUCCGAAGUUUCCCUCAGGAUUGCAGGCGCUCACUCGAACAAGCAGUUUUAUCCGGUAAAGCGAAUGACUAGAGGCAUUGAGGCCGAAACAAUCUCAACCUAUUCUCAAACUUUAAAUGGGUAAGAAGCCCGGCUCGCUGGCUUGGAGCCUGGGCGUGGAAUGCGAGACGCCUAGUGAGCCCCUUUUGGUAAGCAGAACUGGCGCUGCGGGAUGAACCGAUCGCCGGAUUCCGUCUUCC
Sinocyclocheilus grahami is the source of this 487-nucleotide long non-coding RNA. RefSeq lists it as uncharacterized. The transcript has 4 exons. NCBI's taxonomy places the organism in Eukaryota, Metazoa, Chordata, Actinopteri, Cypriniformes, Cyprinidae. The record is from RefSeq and is a predicted model, not a curated record.